GACGAACGCUGGCGGCGUGCUUAACACAUGCAAGUCGAACGGAAAGGCCCUGCUUUUGUGGGGUGCUCGAGUGGCGAACGGGUGAGUAACACGUGAGUAACCUGCCCUUGACUUUGGGAUAACUUCAGGAAACUGGGGCUAAUACCGGAUAGGAGCUCCUGCUGCAUGGUGGGGGUUGGAAAGUUUCGGCGGUGGGGGAUGGACUCGCGGCUUAUCAGCUUGUUGGUGGGGGAGUGGCUUACCAAGGCUUUGACGGGUAGCCGGCCUGAGAGGGUGACCGGCCACAUUGGGACUGAGAUACGGCCCAGACUCCUACGGGAGGCAGCAGUGGGGAAUAUUGCACAAUGGGCGGAAGCCUGAUGCAGCAACGCCGCGUGCGGGAUGACGGCCUUCGGGUUGUAAACCGCUUUCGCCUGUGACGAAGCGUGAGUGACGGUAAUGGGUAAAGAAGCACCGGCUAACUACGUG
RNAcentral lists this ribosomal RNA (468 nucleotides) under uncultured bacterium. Its description in RNAcentral is "partial 16S ribosomal RNA". It matches the Rfam family "Bacterial small subunit ribosomal RNA", at positions 28 to 507 of the family's 1533-position model. The record is from RNAcentral.